CCUACGGGCGGCAGCAGUGGGGAAUAUUGGACAAUGGGGGCAACCCUGAUCCAGCCAUGCCGCGUGUGUGAAGAAGGCCCUCGGGUUGUAAAGCACUUUCAGUGAGGAAGAACGCCUGGUGGUUAAUACCCAUCAGGAAAGACAUCACUCACAGAAGAAGCACCGGCUAACUCCGUGCCAGCAGCCGCGGUAAUACGGAGGGUGCGAGCGUUAAUCGGAAUUACUGGGCGUAAAGCGCGCGUAGGUGGCUUGAUAAGCCGGUUGUGAAAGCCCCGGGCUCAACCUGGGAACGGCAUCCGGAACUGUCAAGCUAGAGUGCAGGAGAGGAAGGUAGAAUUCCCGGUGUAGCGGUGAAAUGCGUAGAGAUCGGGAGGAAUACCAGUGGCGAAGGCGGCCUUCUGGACUGACACUGACACUGAGGUGCGAAAGCGUAGGUAGCAAACAGGAUUAGAUACCCUAGUAGUC
Molecule: ribosomal RNA, 465 nt
Filed under: Vreelandella stevensii
Lineage: Bacteria; Pseudomonadati; Pseudomonadota; Gammaproteobacteria; Oceanospirillales; Halomonadaceae
Description: partial 16S ribosomal RNA
Rfam family: Bacterial small subunit ribosomal RNA
Source: RNAcentral